Molecule: ribosomal RNA, 399 nt
Filed under: uncultured bacterium
Lineage: Bacteria
Description: bacterial SSU rRNA
Rfam family: Bacterial small subunit ribosomal RNA
Source: RNAcentral
GAACGCGUGUAGCAAUACACGAGUGGCGCACGGGUGAGUAACGCGUGGAUAUCUGCCUUUUGGUUCGGAAUAACCCCGGGAAACUGGGGCUAAUACCGAAUGGUUCCUACGGGAUAAAGAUUUAUCGCCAAAAGAUGAGUCCGCGUCCGAUUAGCUAGUUGGUGAGGUAACGGCUCACCAAGGCAACGAUCGGUAGCUGGUCUGAGAGGACGAUCAGCCACACUGGGACUGAGACACGGCCCAGACUCCUACGGGAGGCAGCAGUGGGGAAUAUUGGACAAUGGGGGCAACCCUGAUCCAGCCAUGCCGCGUGAGUGAUGAAGGCCUUCGGGUUGUAAAGCUCUUUUGGCGGGGACGAUGAUGACGGUACCCGCAGAAUAAGCCCCGGCUAACUUCGUG